CUCAGAUCAUGUAAGAUUUUAAUGAUCGAACAGAUCAAAAUUUUAAACUUUUGCAUUUAAAUUUUAUCUUAAUCCAACAUCGAGGUCGCAAACUUUUUUUUUUAUUUGAGCUAAAAAAAAAUAUUACGCUGUUAUCCCUAAGGUAAUUUUUUCUUAUAAUCAUUAUUAAUGGAUCAUUUAAUCAUUUAUUUAUGUUUAGUUUUUAAAAAAAGUUAAUUAAAUUUUUCUAUCACCCCAAUAUAAUAAUUAAUUUUAUUUUAAUAAAAAUUUUUAUAUAACUUUAAAACAAAAAUAAAUAUAAAACUCUAUAGGGUCUUCUCGUCUUUUAAAAUUAUUUUAGCUUUUUAACUAAAAAAUAAAUUUCUAAAAAUAAAUAAGAGACAGUUUAUAUUUCAUUAAAUCUUUCAUACAAGUUUUCAAUUAAAAAACUAUUGAUUAUGCUACCUUUGUACAGUCAUUAUACUGCAGCCCUUUAAUAUCUAUCAGUGGGCAGAUUAGACUUUAAAUUAUAUUCAAAAAGACAUGUUUUUG
RNAcentral lists this ribosomal RNA (531 nucleotides) under Oeneis jutta. Its description in RNAcentral is "partial 16S rRNA". Lineage: Eukaryota; Metazoa; Arthropoda; Insecta; Lepidoptera; Nymphalidae. The record is from RNAcentral.